RNAcentral lists this ribosomal RNA (163 nucleotides) under Aster spathulifolius. Its description in RNAcentral is "5.8S ribosomal RNA". It matches the Rfam family "5.8S ribosomal RNA". Rfam says of the family: 5.8S ribosomal RNA (5.8S rRNA) is a component of the large subunit of the eukaryotic ribosome. It is transcribed by RNA polymerase I as part of the 45S precursor that also contains 18S and 28S rRNA. Functionally, it is thought that 5.8S rRNA may be involved in ribosome translocation. Lineage: Eukaryota; Viridiplantae; Streptophyta; Magnoliopsida; Asterales; Asteraceae. The record is from RNAcentral.
CAAACGACUCUCGGCAACGGAUAUCUUGGCUCACGCAUCGAUGAAGAACGUAGCAAAAUGCGAUACUUGGUGUGAAUUGCAGAAUCCCGUGAACCAUCGAGUUUUUGAACGCAAGUUGCGCCCGAAGCCAUUCGGCUGAGGGCACGUCUGCCUGGGUGUCACG